Equus caballus (horse) is the source of this 5472-nucleotide long non-coding RNA. Lineage: Eukaryota; Metazoa; Chordata; Mammalia; Perissodactyla; Equidae. The record is from Ensembl.
GAGAAUGCUGGAGCAGUUAUAUUCUGGAAAUGAUAUACAUCACUUCUGCUUACAGCACAUUGGCCAAAACUUGUCACAUGGUCCUGCCUAAUGGCACACUGGCGAGCUGGUACUCCUCCCUACACCUUGACGAAGAGGUGAACCAAAAUGGCUGACUAAUCAAAGUUACUAUGUCAGAGGCAGACUUUGAGCUCUUCACCACCAUCUGAUACUAUUGCCCUUGAGAAGAAUGAUCUCCUGCUGGAUGAGAGGAUCACAGUGGCUGUGUGGAGCUUCAUUAUUCAUUCUCCUCCAUCCAUCUUAAUCCUACCAUGCCUGUCACUGGAUCCCAAAGAGGCACAAUUAGGACCUCCCCUCAGGAGUCCUUCUGGCCUCUGCCCAGCUCCUAUGCUGUUCAAGACCAAUACUUGAUGCCCAGUGGCCCACGUUUUUUAACCUUUGGGAUUCAUGUGAUCAGCACCCACACAGCUGGGAAUCACUGAGUCACAGGCUGAGCAGCUGCUUGCAUCUUUUCUGCCUGGAAACAAGAUUUGUAGGGCAGAGUGGAUCUGCCUCCCACCCUUCUGGCAGGCUCCUGUGGCUCUCGGCAUUCCUGCUGCAAAGCCUUGUGAAGCACGUCUUUAACUUCUCAGAGAAGUGUUUAACAAAUGUCACCAUCCAGAGCUGACAGGCACAGUGGUCUUAGACCUGGAAGCCUCAGAUAUGAACAUCUUGGCAGGAAUCUCCAUCACGUUUCUGGAUAUGGGUUUGGAAUGUGUUCACCGACCUGCCCUUUACAAUUCAUUGAUUUUUGGGUUUGUUUACUUUUUCAACUCAUUCUCCAGGCAAGACGCAGUUUCUUCCUCCAGGUAAGAUGCAGUCAACAGCGAGAGAGGCUAAGAAGAGUCCAAGGGAAAGAUGUGUUUGCAAACAUUGCUUUUGGAUAGAACACUCUUUUUCUAGAACAAGUAGAGAAAGAGGGAGUUUAAAAAGUCAACAUAAUACCGAUAGGAGACAAAUAAUUGAACACAAAGAAAACAGAAUUUAUCCUUGAAACUGAAAGAACAGCAUACCUCUGGAAGUUACCUUCUAUAGGAAGCAGCAGGAUUAAAACAAACACAACUCUUUGUUCCUCAAUCUUCUCCUUUUAACCUAGUCUUUCCUCCUGGUUUUUUCAUUUCGUUUCAUAGAGUCCAAGUUGUUUUUAUAUCCUUUGUGUAGAGCAAAGUCAAUGAACAGAGAACAUAAAGGAUAUUAAAGAAAUAACUGCAAAGAAACAGAACUUGGAGUGCUAGAAAUGUCUUUCUUGGAGAUGGUAAAGAAUGGAAUGGACACUGUAGAAAUGGAAUCAGUAAUGUCGAACAACCUGAAGAAACUCCCAGAAUGGAGAGAGAAAGCUUAAAGAGAAUGAGAAAAGAGAAAAAGGAAAAUGACUGAUAUGGAGGAAAGAGAACAAAGACCCAAUAAAAGAAUUAUGGACAUGUUUUUAUAGCAGAAAACAAAAAGUCCACUCAUUAAUGAUUAUUGGUGUAAAAAUCAUCCAUGAAAAUGGUAGUAAAUUGCGCUCCUGGAACAUCAAUCCCUGGUUAAUAAAUUUCAAAAUUCUCAAUUCAAAUAAGAAAUUAAGAAUUUUUUGAGCCCGAUUAUGAUAAAUACUAAAAAAUUUUCCUAAAAAGAUACAAAGUAAGAUUUGGAUAGAUACUCCUGGCCAGAAGAUCAGAUGGUGUAAAGAUAUACAUUCUUCCUAUGUUAUAUCAUGAUUUAAAUAGUUUUAAUAAAAAUCCUAACAGUAUGGGCUAAAGCAAAUCUAACAUUUGAAAAAGUGAAUCUAACAUUUAUCUGGAAGCAAAAAUGGUGCAAGUAGCCAGGACAUUUUUUUUAAGAGCUAUUAUAAUAGAUUGUAAUCAAAACAGCAUGGCGGUGGUAGAACUUGAUAGGCAGAGAAUGCACCGAGAAGAUGUCCCAGCAUUAUUUAAUGAUUCUUUCUCCUCUAAUUUCGAAUGCCAAAUUUAAUCAUAAACUCACUCUUCUAUAUAUAUACUAAAGUCUAUUUUUGGGAUAAGUGGUUAACAAUAUGAAAGAAAGUUGGCAUCCUUUCUCAAAGCAUACACCACAAUACAAAGACCAAAAGGACUAAAUAGUCAAAUGCACAAAAGGAAGCCAAAAUAAAAUAUGGAUGGCUGUAUCUCUGAUCUUGAGCUUGGUUUAGUUUGUCUAUGUAUAAUGAGAUGGGGAAAAUUUUAUUCACCACAAUUCCACUUAUGAAUGGAACUCAUUUGUGGGAGAAAGUUCAUGAAGUAGAAAGGGAGACAGUAGAGGGUCUGAGUAAUAAACAUUGCUCUGUGGGAGACAAGAAGAAUUUCCCUGAUACUCUAACAAAGAAAGGAGAAGGGAGACAAAGGGAAGCAAAAGGAAGUAAAACAAAGGAAGCCAUCAUGAUGUGUGUGGAGGGGAAGAGGAAGUAGUGUCUAGAAGCAACAAGACGUUGAACUGUUACCAACUGCCAAAUUGGAGUCUGGGCGGGUUUUCAGCAGUCUCUAUAGGGCAGGAGGUGCCCGUCAAGGAUCUGGGUUAAAUGAGUGUAAAAGCAGUGGAGGAAAUCUCGAAGAGGAGCAAUUGGCAGAUUUUCUAACGUCAGAUUAGAAAUUUUUGUACAUCAGGGUUUAUAAACUACAAGGGAUCAAAUCUGGCCAUUCCCUUGAGUUUUUGUAUUAUCUGUCUCUGUUUUCCAGCUACCAUGGCAGCAUUGAGAAGUCGUGAUGGAGAACAUAUGGCCCACAAAGGCUAAAAUAUUUACUAUCUGGCCCUUUAAAGAAAAACUUUGCUAAUCCAAGCUCUACAUAAAAAAUAUCACAAUUAAAAGGCAAACUCAGAGAGGCUGGCCUGAUGGCAUAGCGGUUAAGUGCACGUGCUCUGCUUCAGCGGCCUGGGGUUGGCAGGUUCAGAGCCUGAGUGUGGACCAAGCACCGCUCGGUCAAGUCACACUGUGGCGGCAUCCCACAUAAAAUAGAGGAAGACUGGCACAGAUGUUAGCUCAGUGACAACCUUCCUCACCAAAAUUAAAAAAAAAAAGGCAAACUCAGAAACAAAAUGAAAUACUUGACACAAAUAGACUAAAGCAAACAAUAAUACCCUAAGUCUGCAAAGGGCUCUUUUAAAUUUAUUGAAAAACAGUCAGUUGGCAAUAGGCAGAGGACAUGAAUAGACAGUUCGUUGAAGAAAAAUACAAAGGUAUCAACACAUGAACCAAUGGAAGUCUGGCCUCACUAGGGAGCAAUCAAGGGACAGUGGAAUCAACCACAAUCAUGCCACAGUGUUUGGAGUAAGGAUGUUGUGAUGUGGACAGCUUCCCAUACUGUCGGUUGGAACACAUUAGAACCCUAAAAUAACGACACAAAGGUUACACCCUUUGAUCCAGAAAUUCCACUUCUGAGAAGCUAUCUUGAGAAACUAUUUGCAGAUACAAAUAUGUAAAGGCCAGUCUCCUAUGUGUAAGAUUUGCAUGAAGAGUGGAAAAGAUGCAAGGACACUUCCUUGGAUUCAGCCUUCCCAGGCCAACUUGCCAAAUUAAUGAGGAAUAAAGCUUCCGUCUACUCAACAGCUACCACCCUCUUCCCAUGGAUCGCGACUGAAAUGUGGUUAUAAAUGAUUUUCCUUUACCUACGCUUAGGAUUGCAUGGACUCUCCUGGAUUGUAAUUAGCCAGUUCACAUCCCUGAAGUCUGAUCAUAAAAUCCUUCAAAUUAAAAUUAUUCCCCUAACCUUGCCCUACAAAGUCUUACUGAUCUGGUCCUUCCUAAUCCUCUAGACUCCUUCUGGCCUGUCAAACACACCAAGCCUGUGCACUAUUGUUUCUUCUACUUGGAACGCUCCUUCCCUUCCCUCUAAUCUUCACAUGGCACCUUCUUACAGAGGUUCUUUCCUUGUCCCCUGCAGCCUUGCCGAGGUACCUCCCCAAUCACCCAAUUUUCUCUUUUCUAGAGUACUCAUUGUAUUAUUCUUAUUUUCAUUAUUUCCUGUCUUCUCCAUUGGAAUGCUAACUUCUCAAGGGAGAGGCUCUGUCUGUCUUUUGUCCUGUGCCCCAGGACCCAGCCCAGGGUAGUACUUAAUCAAUAUUCACUGACUGACUGUCUAAUGGUCAUUAUUUCUAAUAACUUUGACUUAUUAGCCUCAAGAAGUACUCCCACAUAGCAGGGCAACAGGCAGCACUGAAAAAUAAAACACAUUUAAUAAUAUACCAAAAAUAUUUUUCUAGGUACUGCUGCAAUGCCAUUCACGGCCUGGGAUAAAAAGAUGAGAAACUGAGGCCUGGAGAAGGCCCCACAGAUGGUUGAGGAGAGCCAGAUCAUGAACCAACAUCAUGGCACAUCUCGCCUGAAGAACCCACACCAGUUCCAGAGCCUUCAGGAAGUCCUUCCCAUCUACUCACUUCUUCCUGCCUCCAGUGGUUCUGGAAGAAUUCAGAGAAUGCCUCAUUUGCAGGGCUAAAAGAAGCCUAUGGAGGCUUCCAUUCCUGUCCUGGGCAUGUAGGCACAAACAAGAGUCAUCUCUACCCCCAGUAAGAAGGGUUACUGCAUAAGUGAGCACAACAGAAGAGAAGCCUGCCCAAGGCCUCCCCAGAGAUUUGGCUUUCUGCGUCCUGAAAAUUGGUUUCACCUAAGCCAAGAAACCAGUUAUCAGAUGGGAAUGGCAUUCUGUCAUCCCAGCCUGGGUCACCAGACGCCUAGAGGUGAGAGUCUUUGGGACAUAUUUCCCUGAUUAAACCAUCAUGGCAUCCUUCUGACAUGUAAGUGUGGAAGAAAGGAAUGUGUUACCGGGACCCAGUGAACAAAUCUUUUUAUAGCAUGACGUUGGACAUGAGGAUGUGGAUGCCUGAACACUAACAACACUUCAGUAAAGAACUAUCUUCAGUAGAGGCCCUCCCAAAUGCCAUCCCACAGUGACACAGAGGGAACAGUCUGAAGAAACUGCAAAGAGCUGCAUUAUUUGUAAGCAGAAAGUGGGAACCAGUUUGUAUCACAGCUGCUGAGGACAGAACAAAAACAAGUGGGCCUGAGAAGAUCAGAAGGAAAUAUGGGCCAACGGAGACUGCAGACUCUCUGUUUCCCAUUGUAGAUUUUUAAAACAUGAUAGUUUCUUCUAUCUGGGGAACUAUUUAAUUGUGGUCACUUUUGAAGGCAGAAGCCUAGUCUCCAGUUGGGGGAAUGGGACCAAUAUGGAUAAUAUAGCUUAAUCUGAUGCAGUCAAGAAGGGGUGGAGCAAGGAAAUGAAUAUUUAUUGAUUGUCUAUGAUGUGCUAGUCAUUUUUCAAUCAUUGACUUAUUUAAUCUUCCAAACCACACCAGGAGGUUGCUAUGACUAUCUCUCCCUUUCAAAACAGGAGGAUGGGGCUCAGGAAGCUAAGGGAACCUACAACCAAGGAGAGGUGGGAAGCGGAUCAGGGCUUUGAAGUCUUUUCUUACUAAGAACAAGGACAACCCCCAACCUCAGAUGCC